CUUAUAGUUUUCACACUCUAACUUAAGUAAAAGUGAAUAGAAAUCUAUGAAAUUUUAACACAAGGUUUAUGACCACAAAAGGAAGGUUGGGAUUGAUUUUAGGAGUUUUGGUUCCAACAUUUUAGGAAUAAGGGGCCAAAAAGGGCCCAAAUAAGCAUUUUCUUGGUUUUCACACUAUAACUUUAGUUUAAGUAAAAUAGAAAUCUAUGAAAUUUUGACACAAG
This 224-nucleotide long non-coding RNA is filed under the name Mytilus galloprovincialis (Mediterranean mussel). The record is from RNAcentral. Lineage: Eukaryota; Metazoa; Mollusca; Bivalvia; Mytilida; Mytilidae.